Transfer RNA from Fusarium oxysporum f. sp. cubense, 71 nucleotides. It matches the Rfam family "tRNA". From Rfam's summary of the family: Transfer RNA (tRNA) molecules are approximately 80 nucleotides in length. Their secondary structure includes four short double-helical elements and three loops (D, anti-codon, and T loops). The record is from Rfam. NCBI's taxonomy places the organism in Eukaryota, Fungi, Ascomycota, Sordariomycetes, Hypocreales, Nectriaceae.
GCGUGAUUAGUUUAGUGGCAAAAUCCUCCUCUCCCAUGGGAGGGUCCCGAGUUCGAUUCUCGGAUCACGCA